ACCUGGGUGGCUCAGUCAGUUAAGUGGCUGAUUCUGGCUCAGGUCACGAUCUCACCACUUGUGGGUUCAAGCCCCACUUCAGGUU
This 85-nucleotide transfer RNA is filed under the name Felis catus (domestic cat). It matches the Rfam family "tRNA". Rfam says of the family: Transfer RNA (tRNA) molecules are approximately 80 nucleotides in length. Their secondary structure includes four short double-helical elements and three loops (D, anti-codon, and T loops). Further hydrogen bonds mediate the characteristic L-shaped molecular structure. tRNAs have two regions of fundamental functional importance: the anti-codon, which is responsible for specific mRNA codon recognition, and the 3' end, to which the tRNAs corresponding amino acid is attached (by aminoacyl-tRNA synthetases). tRNAs cope with the degeneracy of the genetic code in two manners: having more than one tRNA (with a specific anti-codon) for a particular amino acid; and 'wobble' base-pairing, i.e. permitting non-standard base-pairing at the 3rd anti-codon position. Lineage: Eukaryota; Metazoa; Chordata; Mammalia; Carnivora; Felidae. The record is from Rfam by way of RNAcentral.